UGCUAAGUAGUACUGCCGCAGGGA
RNAcentral lists this microRNA (24 nucleotides) under Branchiostoma floridae (Florida lancelet). RNAcentral describes it as "Bfl-Mir-252-P1-v2_5p (mature (guide))". The record is from RNAcentral. RNAcentral also lists the same sequence under 2 other names. Lineage: Eukaryota; Metazoa; Chordata; Leptocardii; Amphioxiformes; Branchiostomatidae.